UAAUGCUCCAUAGUGGAUAUGUCCUGGAAUGGUAUAUCCUCGAAAGAUCCGUCGCCUUAGGAUGGGACUGCGUCCGAUUAGGUUGUUGGCGGGGUAACGGCCCACCAAGCCAUUGAUCGGUACGGGUUGUGGGAGCAAGAUCCCGGAGAUGGAUUCUGAGACAUGAAUCCAGGCCCUACGGGGCGCAGCAGGCGCGCAAACUUUACAAUGCGAGCAAUCGUGAUAAGGAAACCCUGAGUGCCUGUCGAUGCAGGCUGUUCAUAUAUCUAAAUCAUAUGUGAAGAAAGGGCAGGGCAAGACCGGUGCCAGCCGCCGCGGUAAUACCGGCUGCUCGAGUGAUGGCCACUAUUACUGGGUUUAAAGCGUCCGUAGCUUGACUGUUAGGUCUCUUGGGAAAUCUUCACGCUCAACGUGAAGGCGUCUAAGAGAUACCGGCAGUCUUGGAACUGGGAGAGGUAAACCGUACUUCGGGGGUAGGAGUGAAAUCUUGUAAUCCUCGAGGGACGACCUAUGGCGAAGGCAGUUUACCAGAACAGCUUCGACAGUGAGGGACGAAAGCUGGGGGAGCAAACGGGAUUAGAUACCCCGGUAGUCCCAGCCGUAAACAAUGUGCGUUAGGUGU
RNAcentral lists this ribosomal RNA (622 nucleotides) under uncultured archaeon. RNAcentral describes it as "bacterial SSU rRNA". It matches the Rfam family "Archaeal small subunit ribosomal RNA", at positions 147 to 774 of the family's 1478-position model. The record is from RNAcentral.